CACUGGCUGGAGGGUGAGGAGGCAGCCAGCCCCAAGGGGCCAUGAGAGACCAUGCUAAGGAGCUUGGUUUUCCCAUCUGCCUUGGGGAACAGGGAAGGGUUUCAGGCAGGUGCCCGAAGCGUUUAGGUCGGCCUUUUAAAUAAGACCUUCUGUUUGGUGAUUUGAGCAGUGGAUUUGGCUAUUCCCACAACGCAGGUGAAGAUGCAGAGGGGCUUCUCUUGAGCAGCUGGAUGGAGGGGGAGAAUGGUCUGAGGAAUAUUUGAGAGGUAAAAUCAGCAAAAUUUGUUGAUUGAUGAUUUACACGGGGUAAGGGAGUGAGGGGAGCCCAUGAUGCCGGCCAGGCAGGUGGAUGUUGGGGUUACUGUCUGUAUCAGUCCAGGUGCAACCAGGAACACCAAAACCACUCUACAGCCUUUAAAACAGGAGAUUAACGCAGGGAUUGGUUACAUCCUGAUGGAAGAAACUCCCAGAGAAGCCAGCUAGGGAACAGCUGGAAGCUGUUAGCACCGCUAGGCUGAAGGGGCAAGAGACAGAGGGAGAGAGAGGAGACAUGGGGAGGCUGGAACCACAGUGCGCCUCUAUGGAUGGAGUUGAGCCACUGCCAGAAACUCCAUUCAAAACAGAGAGGGAGGGGGAGAAAGGCCCACUUCUCCUUUCUUCGGACUUCCAGUCUCGCCAGUGCCCCCCGGUGGCCGGACCCCUGGGGAAACCAGUUCACAAGGGAGUCUGCUAAGCUGAAAAGGCUAAGAAUUUGGUCUGAGCUCCAGCACACCAGCCCAAGGAGAGAUGUCCAGGAGGCACUUGCUGGACCCACGAUUCCAAAGACCGGGGGCAGAGAUCUGCAUCUGCGCAGUGGGAUUUACCAGCAGAAGGGCAGUAGUUACAGGGAGAGCAAUGGAUGUGCUCACAGGGGCAGAGAGUGGACUCACACCGGGGAGGAACCUCAGUCUGAAACUCUGCUGAGGAUUCUCACAGACGAGCACAGGCGCAAUCCCAGCCUUCCGUGGUUUUGUUUCUGCUGGUUUGGUUUUUCAAAAAACACCAACACCCACCUAAGAGCACAAGGAACCUUUGCUCAGCCUCCCCUGGCUUCACUGGGUCUACUGCCCUCGCCGCGCCCGGCCUGUGUCUUGGUCACUAAAGGUCCUAGGGGCUGACACCAAGCCACGGAGCCACCGCCCCGACCGCAGGCGAGAAGGCGACUCGGCCCGGACACCGCCCCACGUGCGCUCCCUCCCGGCGCGCCGGACCCGGAAGUGCGCGCCUCACGUGCUCUGCGGGAAGGUGCCGGACGCCGGCCAAGGGGGCGGUCUCCGUUUCUGCGUGCCUGCGUCAUCGCGUCAUCUGGCGGGG
This 1353-nucleotide long non-coding RNA is filed under the name Equus caballus (horse). Its description in RNAcentral is "lncRNA (ENSECAG00000055116.1)". Lineage: Eukaryota; Metazoa; Chordata; Mammalia; Perissodactyla; Equidae. The record is from RNAcentral.